GACGAACGCUGGCGGCGUGCUUAACACAUGCAAGUCGAACGGAAAGGCCCUGCUUUUGUGGGGUGCUCGAGUGGCGAACGGGUGAGUAACACGUGAGUAACCUGCCCUUGACUUUGGGAUAACUUCAGGAAACUGGGGCUAAUACCGGAUAGGAGCUCCUGCUGCAUGGUGGGGGUUGGAAAGUUUCGGCGGUUGGGGAUGGACCCGCGGCCUAUCAGCUUGUUGGUGGGGUAGUGGCUUACCAAGGCUUUGACGGGUAGCCGGCCUGAGAGGGUGACCGGCCCCAUUGGGACUGGGGUACGACCCAGACUCCUACGGGGGGCAGCGGUGAGGAAUAUUGCACGAUGGGCGGAAGCCUGAUGCAGCAACGCCGCGUGCGGGAUGACGGCCUUCGGGUUAUAAACCGCUUUCGCCUGUGACGAAGCGUGAGUGACGGUAAUGUGUAAAGAAGCACCGGCUAACUACGUG
RNAcentral lists this ribosomal RNA (468 nucleotides) under uncultured bacterium. RNAcentral's name for it is "partial 16S ribosomal RNA". It matches the Rfam family "Bacterial small subunit ribosomal RNA", at positions 28 to 507 of the family's 1533-position model. The record is from RNAcentral.